This 463-nucleotide ribosomal RNA is filed under the name uncultured bacterium. RNAcentral describes it as "partial 16S ribosomal RNA". It matches the Rfam family "Bacterial small subunit ribosomal RNA", at positions 339 to 795 of the family's 1533-position model. The record is from RNAcentral.
CUACGGGGGGCAGCAGUGGGGAAUAUUGCACAAUGGGCGCAAGCCUGAUGCAGCCAUGCCGCGUGUAUGAAGAAGGCCUCGGGUUGUAAAGUACUUUCAGCGGGGAGGAAGGGAGUAAAGUUAAUACCUUUGCUCAUUGACGUUACCCGCAGAAGAAGCACCGGCUAACUCCGUGCCAGCAGCCGCGGUAAUACGGAGGGUGCAAGCGUUAAUCGGAAUUACUGGGCGUAAAGUGCACGCAGGCGGUUUGUUAAGUCAGAUGUGAAAUCCCCGGGCUCAACCUGGGAACUGCAUCUGCUACUGGCAAGCGUGAGUCUCGUAGAGGGGGGUAGAAUUCCAGGUGUAGCGGUGAAAUGCGUAGAGAUCUGGAGGAAUACCGGUGGCGAAGGCGGCCCCCUGGACGAAGACUGACGCUCAGGUGCGAAAGCGUGGGGAGCAAACAGGAUUAGAUACCCCGGUAGUC